GUCUCACUCUCAGCCCAUCACCUGGGCAGAACCCUGCUGAUCCUGCAGAUCACUGGACCCUCAGGACACUGAGGUGUGAAUGCCAGAAGGGGACAGUGGGACAUCAGGGAGGCUGCCACCCCAGGGCCCUUGCCCCGGCUGCGUCCGAGGUGGGUAUAACCCUGGGGCUCCAGGGGGCCGUGGGGCAGCAGCCAGGCAUGGUGAGGAGACAGUCCUGGACCCAGGUGACCACAGAACCCGGCGGGGCGAGCUUCAGCCUCACCUCUCACAAGCCCCGGCUCCAGGCAGCCCCAACCCCACCCCCAUCCCUAACUUGCCGGCGCCCGGAGUUCAUGGGCCUGGCCUAGACUUCGGUCACCACAGGGACUGAGGUUCUCCAGAUUUCAAAAGCCUGUGAUCUGCGGUUGUGUUGCCCCGUUCCCCCCGCGGCAGACAAGCCCAGACACACACGGCCCAGACACCCCAGAGGCAAAGGAAUUCAGCAAACAUUUAUUGACCCUUGGUCCUCAUCAAGGAGGCAGUGAGAGAUGAACUGGAAGUGACCAGGGGCUGCCAGCCACACCCCCUCCACCGAGAAGAUGACUUUCACCUACUAUUCAGCAGAAAACCAAAAGCCAAGAUAAAAAUCGCUGGGGAGGGGCAGGGAUGGGGGACCGGGCCAGACCCCAGCUGCUGAGCAGCCGCCACCUGAGGUGGGGAGGGGCAGGAAAUGUCUGGAGAGUAGGGAGGGCAGAAAGGACCCCCACGUGAGGGGGCACCCCACAUCUGGGGCCACAGGAUGCAGGGUGGGGAGGGCAGAAAGGCCCCCCCGCGGGAAGAGGCACCCCACAUCUGGGGCCACAGGAUGCAGGGUGGGGAGGGCAGAAAGGACCCCCCGCGGGAGGGGGCACCUCACGUCUGGGGCCACAGGAUGCAGGGUGGGGAGGGCAGAAAGAACCCCCGCGUGCCUAAGCAGGUUCUGGUGGGCGUCCUGGCUGGGUGUAGGCAGAGGCUGGCUCCCGGAGGCCCGAGGGGGGCUCUGAGAAGGGGGCGGCCUGAGGGGGAGCCCAGGACAGCCCCUAUGCUGCCCCCGUCCAGCCCGGCCCCUCAGGCUGUGUUUCCUGAGACCUCGCUAGUCUAACCCAAACCUCCCAGCUCUGUCAUUCAAAGGGAUGGAUUAGGUCCCCGUGGGUCCAUUUCCCUGUUUUGGGUGCUGAGGACAGAGCUUCUGGACAGACUCAGCCCUCGCCCUCUGGAGCCCCGUCCAGCUGGGCCCGGAUGAUGCACCACCCAGCCUGCGGCAGAUGGGAUGGACGACAAGUUAGGAGGAAACAAGGGGGAAAAGCCAGGGGGCAGGUGGUGUGGAGCACAAAGGAACCCAGACUGCGAAGGGACUGCCCAAGGACUGUGAUUCCCCCAGAACCUGAGUGGUCCCUGGGCAGCUAUGCAGGGCCCUUUCGCCACAGUGGAGAGGGCAUUCAAGGCCAGAGCCUGGUGGAGAGAUGCCCUGCCCUCUUGGGACCCACAGCCCGGGUGACUUUGUGGGGUGCCUCUCUUACCCUGAGCUCCUCCCCACACUCCCAGCUUCGCUGCCCCAGGCCCUCCUUCCCCUUCUGCACUGAUGCCUUCUCUGAGCAACUCCCCUCCCCCGGCCACGCUGAGCUUCCAGCUGCCCCCAAGAAGACCGUCCCUUCCUGUGCUGCUGAGGAGGCCUCCCUCACGGGGUCUCAAGCUCCCAAGGGGAAGGGGGCCUCCCUCACGGGGUCUCAAGCUCCCAAGGAGAAGGGGGCCUCCCUCAUGGGGUCUCAGGCUCCCAAGGGGAAGGGCUACUUUGAGGCUCUCCUGGGACCAGGACCCCCAGAGUAGGACUGCUGGGGGGACCAAGGGUGGGACCCCCAGCCCAAUGCUACCCCGCCCAGGGUCACUGGCCUGGCCCUCGGAGCUCAGGGAGGGGGCAGGGCAGCCAGGGGCCAGGGGUGGCCUGGCUUGUUGGGCCUGGG
This 1979-nucleotide long non-coding RNA is filed under the name Homo sapiens (human). RNAcentral describes it as "non-protein coding lnc-ISG15-1:1". Lineage: Eukaryota; Metazoa; Chordata; Mammalia; Primates; Hominidae. The record is from RNAcentral.